This is a long non-coding RNA of Leguminivora glycinivorella, 313 nucleotides long. RefSeq lists it as uncharacterized. The record is from RefSeq and is a predicted model, not a curated record. The transcript has 3 exons. Lineage: Eukaryota; Metazoa; Arthropoda; Insecta; Lepidoptera; Tortricidae.
GGGACACAUUCGCCUCCGGCUCAAUGGCGACACCUAUCUGUGCGUUGUGGCAGAUCUUGGGCGCGCCGAACGCGCUGCCGAAUUGGUUGUCACCUGCGGAACAUGAACACAUGGGACUGGCAGGACCGGAUAACAACAAGAAAUGGUCUGAAAAUGUAUGCGACAAAUUAAACUAUUUAAGACUCCCAGAUACAUGGCAAAACACCUCCUCUUGAUAAGUUAACUAAAGUCACAAACUACUAAGAAGAUACUACGUACUAAAGUGAAGUGCAGCCACCGUGUAUACAAUAUUUUAAGGUAGCGCCACACUAGA